CUUAUCCAAAGAUGUUCUGAGGGCAGAAAGGAAAAUGAUUGGUUUACAGAUUCAACCAAUGAAAUUGAAGCAGAGGCGGGGUCAGGAAAUUUGGACGUGUGGAGGGAAUACUUCAGACAGAAACGUUAUUAAUGCUUCGUGGGAGGCAUUUGCUGCAAGAAAAACUUCUUGGAAAAAGCAUAAGUCGUCACUGGUCCAUACUUGGAGAAAGGGAAUCUCUGGACUUUCUUUAUGCUGUGCAGUGAGAUGGUCAGUGAUGUAGUGUUCCUUGCAUGGAAGUUUCCUGCACAAAAGAAAGUGGUCCAGAAAAUAUAUGAAAAUGAGGAUGUUCAUGAUUCAAUAUCCCAAACUAAAGCCUUUAAGAAGACCUUACAAACAUUUCUGGAGACUUUGAGAGACCGGUUUUGAGAAGAUAUUUGGCAAAGCAACCUAUGACCUUGGGCUUGGUUUAAAGGGAGCCUGUUCAAAUUUGUUGACUCAUGUCUGAAAUAAAAAUAAAAAAUAAAAAAAUAAAAAACUUAAAAACCUCUAGGAAUGAUGAUAUCCACUAGUUAAGACUACAGCAGUUUAAUGAUACAUCUUGCUGAACUUUUUUGUUGUGAAACGUUCCUGUGUUUUAUACAUGCAUUUAAUUCACUGGAUUUGUUUGUAAUUUGUAAUUGUAUA
Molecule: long non-coding RNA, 666 nt
Organism: Labeo rohita (rohu)
Lineage: Eukaryota; Metazoa; Chordata; Actinopteri; Cypriniformes; Cyprinidae
Exons: 4
Source: RefSeq, a predicted model, not a curated record